UACCCGCUGAACUUAAGCAUAUCA
RNAcentral lists this ribosomal RNA (24 nucleotides) under Rhizopus microsporus. RNAcentral describes it as "partial 28S ribosomal RNA". Lineage: Eukaryota; Fungi; Mucoromycota; Mucoromycetes; Mucorales; Rhizopodaceae. The record is from RNAcentral.